UACAGAGGUCUCGAGCGUUAGGCGGAAUCACUGGGCUUAAAGCGUGUGUAGGUGGAUGCCUAAGUACCUUGUGAAAUCCCACGGCUUAACCGUGGAACUGCUUGGUAUACUGGGUGUCUUGAGUCACUCAGGGGCGAGCGGAACAAUGGUGGAGCGGUGAAAUGCGUAGAUAUCAUUUGGAACGCCAAUGGUGAAAACAGCUCGCUGGGGGUGCACUGACACUGAGACACGAAAGCCAGGGGAGCGAACGGG
This 252-nucleotide ribosomal RNA is filed under the name uncultured bacterium. RNAcentral's name for it is "partial 16S ribosomal RNA". It matches the Rfam family "Bacterial small subunit ribosomal RNA", at positions 524 to 776 of the family's 1533-position model. The record is from RNAcentral.